GCGCACGCAGGCGGUUUGUUAAGUCAGAUGUGAAAUCCCCGGGCUCAACCUGGGAACUGCAUCUGAUACUGGCAAGCUUGAGUCUCGUAGAGGGGGGUAGAAUUCCAGGUGUAGCGGUGAAAUGCGUAGAGAUCUGGAGGAAUACCGGUGGCGAAGGCGGCCCCCUGGACGAAGACUGACGCUCAGGUGCGAAAGCGUGGGGAGCAAACAGGAUUAGAUACCCUGGUAGUCCACGCCGUAAACGAUGUCGACUUGGAGGUUGUGCCCUUGAGGCGUGGCUUCCGGAGCUAACGCGUUAAGUCGACCGCCUGGGGAGUACGGCCGCAAGGUUAAAACUCAAAUGAAUUGACGGGGGCCCGCACAAGCGGUGGAGCAUGUGGUUUAAUUCGAUGCAACGCGAAGAACCUUACCUGGUCUUGACAUCCACGGAAGUUUUCAGAGAUGAGAAUGUGCCUUCGGGAACCGUGAGACAGGUGCUGCAUGGCUGUCGUCAGCUCGUGUUGUGAAAUGUUGGGUUAAGUCCCGCAACGAGCGCAACCCUUAUCCUUUGUUGCCAGCGGUCCGGCCGGGAACUCAAAGGAGACUGCCAGUGAUAAACUGGAGGAAGGUGGGGAUGACGUCAAGUCAUCAUGGCCCUUACGACCAGGGCUACACACGUGCUACAAUGGCGCAUACAAAGAGAAGCGACCUCGCGAGAGCAAGCGGACCUCAUAAAGUGCGUCGUAGUCCGGAUUGGAGUCUGCAACUCGACUCCAUGAAGUCGGAAUCGCUAGUAAUCGUGGAUCAGAAUGCCACGGUGAAUACGUUCCCGGGCCUUGUACACACCGCCCGUCACACCAUGGGAGUGGGUUGCAAAAGAAGUAGGUAGCUUAACCUUCGGGAGGGCGCUUACCACUUUGUGAUUCAUGACUGGGGUGAAGUCGUAACAAGGUAACCGUAGGGGAACCUGCGGUUGGAUCACCUCCUUACCUUAAAGAAGC
RNAcentral lists this ribosomal RNA (980 nucleotides) under Escherichia coli. RNAcentral describes it as "bacterial SSU rRNA". It matches the Rfam family "Bacterial small subunit ribosomal RNA", at positions 565 to 1533 of the family's 1533-position model. Lineage: Bacteria; Pseudomonadati; Pseudomonadota; Gammaproteobacteria; Enterobacterales; Enterobacteriaceae. The record is from RNAcentral.